AGAGUUUGAUCCUGGCUCAGGACGAACGCUGGCGGCGUGCCUAACACAUGCAAGUCAGGGAGAAAAAGAUAGCAAUAUCUUGAGUAAACCGGCGAACGGGUGAGGAUAACGUAGACAACCAUCCUCGUGAACGGGGAUAACUCCGGGAAACCGGAACUAAUACCCGAUGACAUCCAGAAGGAGCAUUCCUUUUGGAUCAAAGGCCUCACAAGGGCGUCACGAGACGGGUCUGCGCCCCAUUAGAUAGUUGGCGGGGUAAUAGCCCACCAAGUCUACGAUGGGUAGCUGGUCUGAGAGGACGACCAGCCACACUGGAACUGAGACACGGUCCAGACUUCUACGGAAGGCAGCAGUGAGGAAUAUUGCUCAAUGGGCGAAAGCCUGAAGCAGCGACGCCGCGUGAAGGAUGAAAUCCGUUAGGAUGUAAACUUCUUUUAUAGGGGAAGAAUAACCCGGUUACCGGGUGUGACUGUACCUUAUGAAUAAGCACCGGCCAACUACGUGCCAGCAGCCGCGGUAAUACGUAGGGUGCGAGCGUUGUCCGGAAUUACUGGGUGUAAAGGGUCCGUAGGCGGGCGAGAUAGUCGGUGGUGAAAGUUUGCGGCUCAACCGCGAAAUUGCCAUCGAUACUACUCGUCUUGAAUCCGAGAGAGGAUGAUGGAAUUCAUGGUGUAGCAGUGAAAUGCGUAGAGAUCAUGAAGAACACCAGUAGCGAAGGCGGUCAUCUGGCUCGGUAUUGACGCUCAGGGACGAAAGCGUGGGUAGCAAACAGGAUUAGAUACCCUGGUAGUCCACGCCUUAAACGAUGGAUGUUCGGUGUCGGUCCCGCUCAGCACUUUAAUGAAGUGUUGAGCGGGAUCGGUGCCUGAGCUAACGCGUUAAACAUCCCACCUGGGGAGUACGAUCGCAAGGUUGAAACUCAAAGGAAUUGACGG
Molecule: ribosomal RNA, 935 nt
Filed under: uncultured bacterium
Lineage: Bacteria
Description: bacterial SSU rRNA
Rfam family: Bacterial small subunit ribosomal RNA
Source: RNAcentral